AGCCCCGUGGUGUAGUGGCCAAGCAUGGCGGGCUUUGGACCCGUCGACGCCGGAGAGUUUAUCGGCGAUUUCGAAUCCGGCCGGGGCUA
This 89-nucleotide transfer RNA is filed under the name Candidatus Bathyarchaeota archaeon. RNAcentral's name for it is "tRNA-Gln". It matches the Rfam family "tRNA". Rfam says of the family: Transfer RNA (tRNA) molecules are approximately 80 nucleotides in length. Their secondary structure includes four short double-helical elements and three loops (D, anti-codon, and T loops). Further hydrogen bonds mediate the characteristic L-shaped molecular structure. tRNAs have two regions of fundamental functional importance: the anti-codon, which is responsible for specific mRNA codon recognition, and the 3' end, to which the tRNAs corresponding amino acid is attached (by aminoacyl-tRNA synthetases). tRNAs cope with the degeneracy of the genetic code in two manners: having more than one tRNA (with a specific anti-codon) for a particular amino acid; and 'wobble' base-pairing, i.e. permitting non-standard base-pairing at the 3rd anti-codon position. RNAcentral also lists the same sequence under 1 other name. The record is from RNAcentral. Lineage: Archaea; Thermoproteati; Candidatus Bathyarchaeota.